Molecule: ribosomal RNA, 459 nt
Filed under: uncultured bacterium
Lineage: Bacteria
Description: partial 16S ribosomal RNA
Rfam family: Bacterial small subunit ribosomal RNA
Source: RNAcentral
CCUACGGGUGGCAGCAGUGAGGAAUAUUGGUCAAUGGACGAGAGUCUGAACCAGCCAAGCAGCGUGAAGGAUGACUGCUCUAUGGGUUGUAACCUCUUUUUAUAAAGGAAUAAAACGAGGCACGUGUGCCUUUUUGCAUGUACUUUAUGAACAAGGAUCGGCUAACUCGGUGCCAGCAGCCGCGGUAAUACGGAGGAUCCGAGCGUUUUCCGGAUUUAUUGGGUUAAAAGGGUGUGCAGUGGGAAUGUCAAGUCAGCGGUAAAAUUUAGGGGCUAAACCCCGUCGUGCCGUUGAAACUGGCGUGCUUGAGUGAGCGAGAAGUAGGCGGAAUGCGUGGUGUAGCGGUGAAAUGCAUAGAUAUCACGCAGAACACCGAUUGCGAAGGCAGAAUACCGGCGCUCAACUGACGCUGAUGCACGAAAGCGUGGGUAUCGAACAGGAUUAGAUACCCUUGUAGUC